ACUCCUACGGGAGGCAGCAGUAGGGAAUUUUCCGCAAUGGACGAAAGUCUGACGGAGCAAUGCCGCGUGAGUGAUGAAGGUUUUUCGAAAUCGUAAAGCUCUGUUGUAAGGGAAGAAUAGCAAGAAUAGGAAAUGAUUCUUGUCUGACGGUACCUUACCAGAAAGCCACGGCUAACUACGUGCCAGCAGCCGCGGUAAUACGUAGGUGGCAAGCGUUAUCCGGAAUUAUUGGGCGUAAAAGCGCAUGUAGGCGGCUC
RNAcentral lists this ribosomal RNA (257 nucleotides) under uncultured bacterium. RNAcentral's name for it is "partial 16S ribosomal RNA". It matches the Rfam family "Bacterial small subunit ribosomal RNA", at positions 335 to 581 of the family's 1533-position model. The record is from RNAcentral.